RNAcentral lists this unclassified non-coding RNA (339 nucleotides) under uncultured fungus. RNAcentral's name for it is "sequence contains ITS1". The stretch from base 1 to 105 matches the Rfam family "5.8S ribosomal RNA", at positions 50 to 154 of the family's 154-position model. The record is from RNAcentral. Lineage: Eukaryota; Fungi.
GAAAUGCGAUAAGUAAUGUGAAUUGCAGAAUUCAGUGAAUCAUCGAAUCUUUGAACGCACAUUGCGCCCUCUGGUAUUCCGGGGGGCAUGCCUGUUCGAGCGUCAUUUCACCACUCAAGCUCUGCUUGGUAUUAGGCCCUCGUCCGCCCCUCGUGGCGGGCGUGCCUCAAACCCUUCGGCGAAGCCUGUCCGGCUUUGGGCGCAGUAGAAUUUCUAAAACGCUCUGUGGGCACGGACGGUCCUUCCGCCGCGAAACGACUGGGGACUCCCUUCACGGGGGGUACCCGUCACUCUUUCAAGGUUGACCUCGGAUCAGGUAGGGAUACCCGCUGAACUUAA